This 134-nucleotide ribosomal RNA is filed under the name Danio rerio (zebrafish). Lineage: Eukaryota; Metazoa; Chordata; Actinopteri; Cypriniformes; Danionidae. The record is from RNAcentral.
AUCUACAGUAAUUUUACAGUACAGUUAUUUACCGAAUAAAGCUCAAGACCGGUUACUCACUAAAGCUAAGCAGGGCUGAGCCUGGUUAGUAACUGGAUGGGAGGCCGCAUGGAAAAACUGGGUUGCUGUUGGAA